Molecule: ribosomal RNA, 306 nt
Filed under: uncultured Glomus
Lineage: Eukaryota; Fungi; Glomeromycota; Glomeromycetes; Glomerales; Glomeraceae
Description: SSU rRNA
Rfam family: Eukaryotic small subunit ribosomal RNA
Source: RNAcentral
AGCAGCCGCGGUAAUUCCAGCUCCAAUAGCGUAUAUUAAAGUUGUUGCAGUUAAAAAGCUCGUAGUUGAAUUUCGGGGAUCAAUUAAUUGGUCGUGCCUAUGGUACGUACUGAUUUUAUUGGUUUCUCCCUUCUGACGAACCAUGAUGUCAUUAAUUUGGUGUCGUGGAGAAUCAGGACUGUUACUUUGAAAAAAUUAGAGUGUUUAAAGCAGGCUAACGCUUGAAUACAUUAGCAUGGAAUAAUGAAAUAGGACGUUUGAUCCUAUUUUGUUGGUUUCUAGGAUCGACGUAAUGAUUAAUAGGUG